RNAcentral lists this ribosomal RNA (527 nucleotides) under uncultured bacterium. RNAcentral describes it as "bacterial SSU rRNA". It matches the Rfam family "Bacterial small subunit ribosomal RNA", at positions 791 to 1318 of the family's 1533-position model. The record is from RNAcentral.
UAGUCCACGCUGUAAACGAUGGAUACUAGGUGUUUGGGGAGUUAACCCCCUGAGUACCAAAGCUAACGCAUUAAGUAUCCCGCCUGGGGAGUACGGUCGCAAGGCUAAAACUCAAAGGAAUUGACGGGGGCCCGCACAAGCGGUGGAGUAUGUGGUUUAAUUCGAAGCAACGCGCAGAACCUUACCUACCCUUAACAUUCCAGGACAACCUCAGAGAUGGGGCUUUCCCUUCGGGGACCUGGGGAUAGGUGCUGCAUGGCUGUCGUCAGCUCGUGUCGUAGGAUGUUUGGUUAAGUCCAAUAACGAGCGCAACCCUUAUCUUCUAGUUACCAUCAUUAAGUUGGGGACUCUAGAGAGACUGCCGGUGUUAAACCGGAGGAAGGCGGGGAUGACGUCAAGUCCUCAUGGCCCUUACGGGUAGGGCUACACACGUGCUACAAUGGUAUAGACAAUGAGCAGCCACAACGCGAGUUGGAGCGAAUCUAUAAACUAUAUCACAGUUCGGAUCGAAGUCUGCAACUCGACUU